AUUGAACGCUGGCGGCAGGCCUAACACAUGCAAGUCGAGCGGAUGAAGGGAGCUUGCUCCUGGAUUCAGCGGCGGACGGGUGAGUAAUGCCUAGGAAUCUGCCUGGUAGUGGGGGAUAGCGUCCGGAAACGGGCGCUAAUACCGCAUACGUCCUGAGGGAGAAAGUGGGGGAUCUUCGGACCUCACGCUAUCAGAUGAGCCUAGGUCGGAUUAGCUAGUUGGUGGGGUAAAGGCCUACCAAGGCGACGAUCCGUAACUGGUCUGAGAGGAUGAUCAGUCACACUGGAACUGAGACACGGUCCAGACUCCUACGGGAGGCAGCAGUGGGGAAUAUUGGACAAUGGGCGAAAGCCUGAUCCAGCCAUGCCGCGUGUGUGAAGAAGGUCUUCGGAUUGUAAAGCACUUUAGGUUGGGAGGAAGGGCAGUAAGUUAAUACCUUGCUGUUUUGACGUUACCAACAGAAUAAGCACCGGCUAACUUCGUG
This 484-nucleotide ribosomal RNA is filed under the name uncultured bacterium. Its description in RNAcentral is "partial 16S ribosomal RNA". It matches the Rfam family "Bacterial small subunit ribosomal RNA", at positions 30 to 507 of the family's 1533-position model. The record is from RNAcentral.